AGGGGCUGGGGGCUUCUGCAGCCUUUGGGGAGGAGAGAUGCGCGCUCCGGCCAUUUUUGGUCGGGUAGAGCUAAGUUUGGAAUUUGUAACCUGGGGGAA
This 99-nucleotide long non-coding RNA is filed under the name Spermophilus dauricus (Daurian ground squirrel). RNAcentral's name for it is "GNAS antisense RNA 1 conserved region 1 (ENSSDAG00000018134.1)". It matches the Rfam family "GNAS antisense RNA 1 conserved region 1". The record is from RNAcentral. Lineage: Eukaryota; Metazoa; Chordata; Mammalia; Rodentia; Sciuridae.